CCUACGGGAGGCUGCAGUGGGGAAUAUUGGGCAAUGGGCGCAAGCCUGACCCAGCAACGCCGCGUGAAGGAAGAAGGCUUUCGGGUUGUAAACUUCUUUUAAGAGGGAAGAGCAGAAGACGGUACCUCUUGAAUAAGCCACGGCUAACUACGUGCCAGCAGCCGCGGUAAUACGUAGGUGGCAAGCGUUGUCCGGAUUUACUGGGUGUAAAGGGCGUGCAGCCGGGAAGACAAGUCAGAUGUGAAAUCCCGCGGCCAAACCGCGGAACUGCCUUUGAAACUGUUUUUCUUGAGUACCGGAGAGGUCAUCGGAAUUCCUUGGGUAGGGGUGAAAGGCGUAGAUAGAAGGAAGAACUGCGAUUGCGAAGGAAGUUCAAUGGACUGCAACUGACACUGAGGCUCGAAAGUGUGGGUAUCAAACAGGAUUAGAUACCACAGUAGUC
This 442-nucleotide ribosomal RNA is filed under the name uncultured bacterium. RNAcentral describes it as "partial 16S ribosomal RNA". It matches the Rfam family "Bacterial small subunit ribosomal RNA", at positions 338 to 795 of the family's 1533-position model. The record is from RNAcentral.